This 220-nucleotide non-coding RNA is filed under the name Nannospalax galili (Upper Galilee mountains blind mole rat). Lineage: Eukaryota; Metazoa; Chordata; Mammalia; Rodentia; Spalacidae. The record is from RNAcentral.
GAGCCUGUAUUAAAUUGUCUCGGUUACCUCUCUUCAAUUAGGCAAUGCUGGGGGCGCGGGGGGCGCAAAAAGGCAGCUCCUAUACACCCAAGUCCCCAAUCUGUGUUCCCUGAUGAGCCCAGGAAAGAUGCCAUAGUUGUGAUUCAACAGCUUAGUCACAAAGGAAUCUGUUGAGAAUGUUAUUAUCUGUGGCUAUGAUGUGACGUUUCAAGCUAAGAUC